UUCAGUAGAGGUUCGAUGGUAUGCAUGGAUAGGACAAAAAAAAAUGAUUGCUAAAUGAAAAACUGCACACUAAAUGGACGUGUAUUUUGCUUGUUACAGGGGUCGGUCGAGGAAUUCCAGUCCACUCCGGAGGGAGCGUCUUGUGCGACCGUUAUCGAGAGAGAGCAUUGCAGUCAUUGGACCAACUCUAAUCGAAUUUUCACAAGAUUUCGAGGGAUUGCACUCGGUCCACUGCCGGAAUGGAGGCGAUAGAGGCAGGGACUCUGGAAGACGGAGACGAGAACAACCACGAAGCUCAUCGCAUCCCUUCUGAUCCUGCAACGAAAACCUUUGACUCCAAGAAUCAAGCAUCCUCGGCAGACUUAGAUCGGUUCAAAUCUUACUUAGGGACGCCAGAGAAGCAGAGACUGUGACUCUGAGGGAAAACCAAAUAAAUUGAGUACUUGGAAGACGCCCAAUUUGCAAAAGCUGCAGACGAUGGGCUAACGCAAAUGGAACCACAGCAUACAACGAUCAUUUUAUUUCGUACCCCUUUUUGCAACAAAUAUAUACUACUUCUUCGUCAAGAGCUAAUUUUCUCUCCAUCCUAAUUGAGCCUCCAUUCGACGAGUCGAAGUAAUCGGAUCCAGAGUAACGGACUCAGACAGAAAAAUAGUUUACUCUUAUAGAUACACGUAUAUAAAUACAAUUUUUCUAACGGAAAGUUACAAUUUAUUCAAACAAAGCUCCAAUUUUACUGCCACUUAAACGCAAAAAAAUUGCGAUUGUUAUUCGGACUUUAUCAAAAUCUUGGUUUUGAAGAUUUUUACUGUCAAUGAACUUGCGAAAAUCCACCAAUUAAAUUGCAAAUCAUUAUGAUCAUUAAUUUUUGAGGUAGCCUGAAAAAUUCUCAAGCGAUAUUCACUCGGUUGAGGUAUAUAUGUUACAGGGAGACUUACCGCAUAGCUGAUACCGAGUUAAUAGAUCCGUGAAAAAACACUCAACUAUAGAAAUAGUUUACUCGUCAUCCUGCUACAUAGCCUACGGUAGACCUCGCCAAUAAUACACUCAUUCGAAAGAUAGUGUUGAUUGAGGGUAAUUGUGUGACUUAUAGUAAGCUAACGGAUCCGCAGUUGAAGAAAUAGUCGACCCUUCAACUGUCACAUUCCCUGAACAAAACUGUAAUCCUUUGAGGAUACUGAAUGAAUCGUGUGCAUAGUGGUGAAAUAAGGGUUGCAUAAUGUCAAGGAGGGCAGUUUACUUGUCGUCCUGCUAUGUACGCUAGACCUGGCCAAUUAUACACUCAUUCGAAAGAUAGCUUUCAUUGAGGUUUAUCGGGAGACUCAUUUUGAGCUGACGGAUCCGCAGUGAAGCACUCUGUUGAAGAAAAAGUCGACCCAAAAACCCAACUGUCACAAAAAUAUAAUCGCUCGAAGAUACCGAACGAAUCGUGCGUAAAUUGGUGAAACGAGGGUUGCAUAAUGUCAAGGUGCUGAAAAAGCAGUCGACCCGCCAGUUUACUUGUCGUCCUGCUACAUAGCCUACGCUAGACUUAGCCAGCAAUACUCUCAUUCGAAAGAUAGUUUUCAUUGAGGUUCAUUGUGUGCUUUACAGUAAGCUAACGGAUCCGCAGUUGAAGAAAUAGUCGACCCUUCAACUGUCACAAAAAUACAAUCGCUCGAACGAAUCGUGCGUGAAUUGGUGAAAAGAGGGUUGCAUAAUGCCAAGGAGCUGAAAGGGCAGUCGCCGGCAGUUUACUUAUCGUUCUGCUACGAAGCCUACGCUAGACCUGGCCAGUUAUACACUCAUUCGAAAGAUAGUUUUCAUUGAGGUUUAUCGGUUGACUUAUACUGAGCUACAAAUCCGCAGUUGAAGAAAUAGUCGACCCUUCAACCGUCUCAAAAAUACAAUCGCUCGAACGAAUCGUGCGUGAAUUGGUGAAACGAGGGUUGCAUAAUGUCGAGGAG
RNAcentral lists this long non-coding RNA (1946 nucleotides) under Bemisia tabaci. RNAcentral's name for it is "lncRNA ENSSSA2NGG012615". Lineage: Eukaryota; Metazoa; Arthropoda; Insecta; Hemiptera; Aleyrodidae. The record is from RNAcentral.